CUGAAACUCACAUUCCCUUCAUAUUACAAUAGUUACAACAAGUCCUGCUGUAAACUCUACCCAGGAGGAUGCUACAAGCUGCUGGACAGUGCAGGAUUCACUUGUGAGUUACUGAAAGGAAGAGUUACGACAACUGAGAAAGACGGCUGGAUAGAAUUUAAAAUAUCAAAUGUGCGCUUUGUGGACGGAGGAUAUUACAGAUGUAUUGUGCUGGGAACUCAGAACCGCAUCUACAGUGAUUACUAUGUCGAGGUGUCUGAGGUUUCUGUUCAGCACAGCCAGACUCAGCCUUUACUGACAACAACUGUCAAAAACCCCAACAACUCCACAAUGCUCCCAGGCUCCUCUUGGCCUGCUCUGGCACAGGACCACAGUGACAGGGACAGAGUUCCAUGGAGUUUGGGCCUGCCACUAGCUGUCAUUGUGUCCAUUGCAGUGAUGAUUUUGAUCACUUCAAUUAUUGGUGUUGUUUGCUGCAGAGUCGAGGCAAGACGUAAACAGCCGGAAACUCUAUGUGAGUCACUGAAACCAGAAGCCCCGGACACGAGCGGCAUAGUCUACACAACAGUGGACUUCAGAGCUCACCUGAGACCAACAGAGGUGUAUGCAAACCUGAGGAUGCACCAAACACAAGCGGGAAGCCCCGACUCGACCUGGAGCGCAGAGCCCAAUGGGAUGGUGGAGUACUCCACACUGGCAAUCCACCAGUGAAUCCACCUGUGAGAAUCUAGUUCAUUUCUGAUUUUAAUGGCACCGCUUUUGUUUUUUCAAUUUACUAGUCAUGGUUAGCACUACUUAGACAGUACAGAGUUUGAAAGGGAUUUAUCAGGCAGACAGGAGCUAACAAAAACAUGCAUUUGGUUGCAUUAUGGGAAAUGUACUGUAGGAUCCAGCAUUUGUUGGAGCUUGACCCAUAUUAGGGACUAACAAUGAACUAUUCUUUUGUCUUUAGUGAGUCUCUAACUUUAUGGAGGUGCAAUAUUAAAUCACUGAACUACACCAUAUAUAUAACAUGUGUUGUUUGUGAAAAUGAGAAGACAUACAAAUGAAAUGAUGCAUGAAUGAAAUGAACAUAGUCUGG
This 1081-nucleotide long non-coding RNA is filed under the name Cyclopterus lumpus (lumpfish). RNAcentral's name for it is "lncRNA (ENSCLMG00005011426.1)". The record is from RNAcentral. Lineage: Eukaryota; Metazoa; Chordata; Actinopteri; Perciformes; Cyclopteridae.